UUGAUUGGUCAACGCAGGUUUUCAGGACUGGCGAAACGCGUAUCCACGGGUUAAUGCACGAAACGUUGUUGACCAUAAAGCCAACCUAACGUACGCUAAAUUCAAACGUUCGAUUGAAUAUGUUGCGGGGUGGUUCCGGACCUAGCUGGCCCAGCGUUUCGGCCACCGACUUUUGUUGCAACGGCGAGGCUCAAUGGCUUCGUGAUGAAGCUAGUGGUGAAGAUAUUCCUGAAGCUAGGGAUUUGGAACAGGGCAUGGACCUACCGGUGUCUGUCUCCCCAUCACAUCUAGACUUCUACGUAGAUGAGAAGAAUGGAGACACACUGCUGCUCUCGUUGUUCAAUGUCAGUCAACAGACGGUAUACUUUCAGUUGAUGUCGAACGAACCAGCACGGUAUGGAUUCACGGGGCGAUCAGGCAUCAUCACAGCCCAUUGCUACAGCGAAAUAGAGGUGCACUACUUUGGUCUCUCCGAGGAACAUGUGGGCACCAGGGACAACCUGCGCAUUGUCUUGUGUGAGCAAGAGGACCGCAUCCUGGGAUUCGUGGAUGUGCCUGUCAACGUGUGGCCUAAGCGUGGCAGGUCUGAUGAUGAGAGCGAGGAGGAGGCUCCAGCAGCUGUUUUGCCGAGAGGUUCCACCCACACCCAGCAGCUGCCAAGGCAAGAUUGGAACAACAGCUGGGCGCUAUCUGGUCACCUGCCACUUCUGAUGUUUGUGGUGCUGGUCUGUGUUGUAGCCCUUCUGCUGCCACUCAAGGGUACACUUGAUGCCAGCAGCCACCCACUGUUGGCAUACUUCUCUCUAAGCCACAAGCUCAAGCUAGUCGCUGCAUACAUCCUUGAGCCCGACCACGCCGCCUGACACACUUGGCCGACAACAGUUGCGGCUGCGGCUGGCUCUACUCGGCUCGCACACACGCUUGCUGGCUUGAGCACUGGAGCCAUGGUGAUGCCACAAAAACGAGGUGCAUGACCAUGCUCAUCGUCACUUAGAAAAGUCUGCGAUGCCCAACUGGACAAUCCUGAAGUAUACAAGUCUAUGGUCAAGAAAGGUUCCAUGUGAAGUUGUGUGACCCGGUCGUCCUGGUGAUGUUUUGUUUUCUUCAAAUAAAGUGUGCCUGAUAUA
Molecule: unclassified non-coding RNA, 1127 nt
Filed under: Rhipicephalus microplus (southern cattle tick)
Lineage: Eukaryota; Metazoa; Arthropoda; Arachnida; Ixodida; Ixodidae
Description: motile sperm domain-containing protein 1-like, transcript variant X1
Source: RNAcentral